Molecule: transfer-messenger RNA, 65 nt
Filed under: Azospira oryzae PS
Lineage: Bacteria; Pseudomonadati; Pseudomonadota; Betaproteobacteria; Rhodocyclales; Rhodocyclaceae
Description: transfer-messenger RNA Dechl_suill_PS
Rfam family: transfer-messenger RNA
About the family: Bacterial tmRNA, also known as 10Sa RNA or SsrA, is named for its dual tRNA and mRNA-like properties. Its role is to liberate the mRNA from a stalled ribosome. To accomplish this part of the tmRNA is used as a reading frame that ends in a translation stop signal.
Source: RNAcentral
AUGGUUGUAAUUCCGGCAAUCUGGAGGCGUUCUGGACGCGGGUUCGAUUCCCGCCACCUCCACCA